AAGACAGAAAUCUGAGCAACAUCCAUGUG
This 29-nucleotide non-coding RNA is filed under the name Mus musculus (house mouse). Lineage: Eukaryota; Metazoa; Chordata; Mammalia; Rodentia; Muridae. RNAcentral also lists the same sequence under 1 other name. The record is from RNAcentral.